Molecule: long non-coding RNA, 437 nt
Organism: Drosophila serrata
Lineage: Eukaryota; Metazoa; Arthropoda; Insecta; Diptera; Drosophilidae
Source: RefSeq, a predicted model, not a curated record
GCUCUGUGAGGUUUUCUCGUCUAUUCAUUCAGUUUAAGCAAAAGUAUUGAACAGAAAUCAUCAGUAUUUUGUAUCCAAAUUAUAAUUUUUUUAGAAACCGUUUUUUUUUUACUGUUACCUUAAGUAUCUUACAAACCAAAAGGAAAUCCCACUAUUGAUAAUGGCCACGGUAUGCGAUAUGGUUUUCCAGCUGCCAAUGGCCCUUCUCUAUGGGCUCUUUUUCCCUUUGGAUGUAGGGAUUCCUCCGAUUCGGAUUUACACAUGAACACAAAAUUCGAAACACAUUAGAAGAAAUGUACUGACUAAGGACCACAAACGGGGAUUUUUGGUUCGACUUGUAGUCAAGUUUAGCCGAAAUCUAAAAUAAUUAUACAAUACAAUAUUUCAAUAAUUAAAUACACGCAUGCCGAUGCGAAAGCCUCAGAAAAAAACCAUAA